RNA transcript from Mus musculus (house mouse), 2806 nucleotides. It is a transcript of the gene named methylenetetrahydrofolate dehydrogenase (NADP+ dependent) 2-like, with no coding region annotated. Lineage: Eukaryota; Metazoa; Chordata; Mammalia; Rodentia; Muridae. The record is from RefSeq and is marked validated. The transcript is spliced from 11 exons.
AAGGUUCCACAAACUCUAGGAUCUUCUGGAAGUGUCAAGGAUGCUGAAGACUGAUAGAAAUCCCAAGGACAUCUUUGUUUCUUCCUCUCCUUGAGUUUCUUUUUCAAUGCAUCUUAAGGUCGCACAGGGAGUGAAAAGCAAAGACCUGCAACAACUUUACUGCUCCAAGCUGCCCUCCCUGUAACCAUGGAAACGAGACCAGGGACUAGAGCUGGGCCUGGGGCACAAGGGGGCCUUGCUGCCUGCAAGAACGGCCGAGGACUUCCCUGUGCUCCCGUGGCGACAGCGUGCACGGGUUGGAGCCAAGUCGCCCGCCACCCCGCGGCCACCAGCGGUGCCGCCUCUGCCUUCUCGGGGCUCGGCCCCGCCCCGCGCCCCGGAACCCUGCUGAGGGCCCCGGGCGUGUCGCUGAGCUGACCGCGGGACCCCCGGAGGCGGACGGCGAGGCAUGGCGACGCGGGCCCGCGGCUUCUCGCUGCUCCGGGGCCGUCUGGGCCGAGGGCCUGUGCGAGCCCCGGGCGUCGCCGAGCGCGCGUGGCGCGGCUUCGGGAGCAGCGGCCGGAGGGCCAGCAGAGAGAAGAGACUCCAUCUUCCAGAGGUGGUCUGUCUCCCUUUGGCGUGUCCUUGCACCACAGUCUGUGAGAUAAGACACGAAGCCGUUAUCAUCUCAGGAACUAACAUGGCCAAACAGAUCCAGAAGGAGAUACAGCAAGGAGUGGAAUCAUGGAUCGCUCUCGGGAACAGGAGGCCCCAUCUGAGUAUCAUUUUAGUGGGAGAUAACCCAGCAAGCCACACCUAUGUCAGGAAUAAGAUAAAAGCGGCUUCUGCUGUAGGUAUCUGCAGUGAGCUCAUCAUAAAGCCCAAGAAUGUUUCUCAGGAGGAACUGUUGGACAUCACUGAUCAGCUGAACAUGGAUCCAAGAGUCAGCGGUAUAUUAGUUCAGCUUCCACUCCCAGACCAUGUAGAUGAGAGAACAAUAUGCAAUGGAAUUGCUCCAGAAAAGGACGUUGAUGGAUUUCACAUUAUCAAUAUUGGACGACUGUGCCUUGACCAGCAUUCACUGAUCCCUGCCACUGCCAGUGCCGUUUGGGAAAUCAUCAAAAGAGCAGGAAUCGAAACAUUUGGGAAAAAUGUGGUCGUGGCGGGAAGAUCCAAGAACGUGGGCAUGCCGAUUGCCAUGCUGCUGCACACGGACGGAGAGCACGAGCGUCCUGGAGGUGAUGCAACGGUGACGAUAGCGCACAGAUACACCCCCAGAGAACAACUGAAGGCCCACACUCAACUAGCAGACAUCAUCAUAGUGGCUGCGGGUGUGGACUUUGGUGUGAGCCAGGGAUGGAGAAAAGAACAGUAGACAAGCUCACCCAUUUAAAGCCUCCAUCAGAAUGUCAAGAACUGUCACUAUAGAGCCAAGAGCAGAAGCAAAGAGAAAAGCUAUUAUGAUUUCAUUUAAUGGAUCCAAGGUAUUCCCAGGUUGAUUACAGCUGACAUGGUCAGAGAAGGUGCGGCAGUAAUUGAUGUGGGUAUCAACUAUAUACAAGAUCCUGUGACGGGAAAGACCAAGUUAGUUGGAGAUGUGGACUUUGAAGCUGUUAAGAAGAAAGCCAGCUUCAUCACUCCAGUCCCAGGAGGUGUGGGACCCAUGACCGUGGCCAUGCUUCUUAAGAACACACUUUUAGCUGCAAAGAAUAUCGCCUACUAGAUCACAGCGGGGAGUACACGAAACGAAUUCUGCUGCUUACUCAUUUGACAACCGGCAAAAUCCUCUCUAUUUUCCUACAAAGCUAUUUAUUUCUACAUGUAUUUAUUUUUUCAUGAGUGGAAUCAUUCUGGAACUGAUUGUUCACAUGACUUUAUGGAUUUCUUGCUAAUAGAUUUGAGUCUUAAGAAAAAAACUCGAAACAAUCCCAAUGACAAUUGUGGUAACAACUCUUUAUUUUAUGGAUAUUUGUUCAUAAUGUUAAAACAAACGAAGACUUCAUAUUUAAUAUAUUUUUUACAUAACCUAAGUAUUACACACUGUAUGUUUAAAAAAAAACUGUUUUGCCAGCUCAAUGAGUGCCGUGUAAACUGUAACUUAGGUUUUGUUAUAACUAUGAUUUUCUAUAUAGUCUCUACUCUAGCUUGUCUGUGGAGAAGAGUAUUCUACAAGGCAAUCCUGUGCAAAAAUUUAAGCAAUGGAAGCGAUUCCAAGUAGCAAAGGCUGCAACAACACUUGAAACUCUAAGAAUGCUUACUUUGUGUAGUGUAAGGCCACCCGCGUUAGGCUCCCACACCAUUCAGUUCAGUUCACUGAUGAUGUUAGCAAACUCGCCAAACAAAUGAAUGGACAAAGUCAAACUAAAGCAUUUCCCCACAAACAUCAACCAAAUACAAUUCAAAUAUAGCAUGAAUGAAUCUGUCAUUAAGUAACUGUGAUAUAUUUAUUUAUUCAUGGGAGCAGAAAUCUGAUAGAAUUAUAAGGCAGUAAUUUUGUUAAAACUGAACCCUUGGAUAUAACGAAUAGCUAGUUCUUGUACACACACACAUCUUCUCCUUCCUAGGAUAGCAUCUGAUUCCUAACACAGAUGCUGGGUUUCUAAUGCAAUUUCAAAUUGGGAAAUGUGUGUGACCAUUAUUUGAAGAUUAUUUAACGACUAGAGCCAUGUAAUUGUACUGUGUUUCACUCCCAAAUCCCAGUUUGUUUGUGUACUAAUAAUGAUCCUUGUUCAAUGCACGUCUUUAUCAGUGUGCCUCUUGUGUGGAAAUAGACUAGCUGUUUAUCACUAAUAUCUCAAGUGUCCAAUAAAAGCAUUUUGAAGAAGAA